This 380-nucleotide ribosomal RNA is filed under the name uncultured bacterium. Its description in RNAcentral is "bacterial SSU rRNA". It matches the Rfam family "Bacterial small subunit ribosomal RNA", at positions 28 to 408 of the family's 1533-position model. The record is from RNAcentral.
GACGAACGCUGGCGGCGUGCUUAACACAUGCAAGUCGAGCGGUAAGGCCCUUUCGGGGGUACGACGAGCGGCGAACGGGUGAGUAACACGUGGGUGACCUGCCCUCAGCUCUGGGAUAAGCCUGGGAAACCGGGUCUAAUACUGGAUAUGACUCCAUGACGCAUGUUGUGGGGUGGAAAGCCUUGUGCGGCUGAGGAUGGGCCCGCGGCCUAUCAGCUUGUUGGUGGGGUGANGGCCUACCAAGGCGACGACGGGUAGCCGGCCUGAGAGGGCGACCGGCCACACUGGGACUGAGACACGGCCCAGACUCCUACGGGAGGCAGCAGUGGGGAAUCUUGCGCAAUGGGCGAAAGCCUGACGCAGCGACGCCGCGUGAGGGA